UGACGUCACGGGGAGCGGCCAGUGCGCGAGGGAGAGGGCGUGGCCGGCACAGCGCCCCGCCCUCUGGUGCGCCGUUGUUGGAGGGUGGGGGGCGUCAAUCAUCUACUUCCACUCCAUCACCCACUCUGAGGAAAAAGCCAGCCAGGAGCAGCCCGCGGUGGACCAACUGACCCCGGGACGCCGAGUGUCCGGCGGGGCCGCUUCACAUAAUUGUCCCCUCCCCUGCGUGGGUUGCCCUGCAUGCCCUGUACUCGAGCAGCCUCUUCCCGCCCUAGCCGCCGCCCUCAGACUCUCAGCUCACCUGUCCACGCCGAGGAGGCCGAUCCAGGGAUCACUGACAACUGAGCCAUGCUCAGCUUCUCGUGCCUUUGUGCUCCGAAGUUGGGAGAGCUCUGGAUUCCUCCAACUUCAGGGUCUGCUCCAAGGGCAUUGAAAAUGCUAGGCAAUUAAUUCCAGAUGUGGUCAAGCUGACAACCAAGAACAGCCAUCACAGCAACUUAAAGGAGGGAGGGAUCAUUUUGCUCCUGACUUUCAGAGGACUCCACCCGUAGUGACUUGGCUCUGUGUCUCUGACCCACUGUGAGGCAGAACAUCGUGGUGAUGGGAGUGUGUGCAGCAGGAGGAGGCUGUUCACUGCGGGACAGACAGGAAUCACCAAGCAAGGAAAGGACUGGAGAAACCUUCGAGGGCACAUUUCCCUGGAGAACCCACCUCCUAAAAUAGAGUCACCAGCUGGAGACCAAACACUCUAGCCCCGAACCUGGGAGGAUGUAAAAGAAAAAAUGAGUAGCGAUGGUAUGGGGGUGGCAGUAUUGUGAAUAGCUUGAAAUCACCUAAAUCAAUGACUAAUUAUUAGGCCAAGCAGAGUGAGAUUCUAAACCAGUACUCUCGGUGGUCUAUAUCAGUUCAGCAUGUGGUCAAUCAUUUAUCAACAAUCAGCUCUGACCUUCAGAGCCCAAUUUGGUAGCAUUUUAUUUUGAAUUUCAGGCAUUUAAGUUCCCAGGCAAAUAGUAUGGGCAACUAACUGAAACACAGGUCAACUCCAUUUUCCAACCACUAGGUGGCACCAGUCCCAGGACUUGCCUGUGACUUGGUGCUAUGGUUAGCCUGGUGUGUCACCACAAUGCUCUAAGUUCUUGCUGUGUGAGUGAAGGAGCUUGCCAGGGCAGUGCUGCCAGGCUUACUUUGAGGAGCCAGUGUCCUUGAUGGGCCUGGACUCACGACUCCAAUGACUAACUCAUCCUAAUGAAAAUAGCCACUGCGAACUCAUUGUCCAUCUCCAACACUCUCCUCAUGUUCGCUGGGUUUUUGCCUUUCUCCACCAGACUCUCAAAUCACCAAAGACAGAGAUGUAUUCUGUUCACUGCUGUAACCCUAGCUCCUACAGUGCCUAGUACUUACUAGGCUGUCAGUAAAUAUACAUUGCAUAAAUUAAUGAAUAAGCAAACAUGCAACACAGAAGUAUUAGCAACUAAGGACUGUAGUUGCAUUUCCCUUGGGAAACUGAAAACCAAGCAAUACUGAGCUGUUGUCAUUGUUUGUGGGAGGUGGGCUUAAUCUGUAUUGUUUUAAUUCAACUAGAACAGCUUGCCUCUAAAUUAAAGUGGUUUCGUCUUCUAAAUCUAUUUUGCUCCUACCAUGCUGUCUGGGGAGAUCUUUGAUAGACCUUUGUAUCUUUUACUAUUUUAAGAGUCCUGCUCUGUAGCCUUGGUUGCUCUGGUGGUUGCUAUGUGCCCAGGAAAGCCUCCAAAAGACAGCCACAACACUGCCUUCCCAGUGCUGGGAUUACAUGUGUGAGCUACCAUAUCCAGCUUACUUGUGACUUUGU
Molecule: long non-coding RNA, 1828 nt
Organism: Mesocricetus auratus (golden hamster)
Lineage: Eukaryota; Metazoa; Chordata; Mammalia; Rodentia; Cricetidae
Exons: 3
Source: RefSeq, a predicted model, not a curated record